RNAcentral lists this ribosomal RNA (340 nucleotides) under Elminius kingii. RNAcentral describes it as "partial 12S ribosomal RNA". The record is from RNAcentral. Lineage: Eukaryota; Metazoa; Arthropoda; Thecostraca; Balanomorpha; Elminiidae.
UGUUACUUAUAAGAAAAAUGUUUUGGAAUAGUAAAAUUAUGGAAAUUUAUCGGAUUUGGCGGCAAGAUAGCUAUUUAGAGGAACCUGCCCUGUAAACGAUGAGCCUCGAGAACCUUACUUUUUUUUGAAACUCAGUUUGUAUAUCGCUGUUGUCAGUUAGUUUCCUUAGAAAACUUUCUUAAAUGGUAAAGCCAUGGACUUCAAGUAAAGGUGCAGCCGAUAAAAAAGAAAGAGGUGGGUUACAAUAAAAAGAUUUAAACGGAUAAAGUUUGUGAAAUGACUUUUGAAGGUGGAUUUAAAUGUAAAAUUAAAAAAAAUUUGAUAAAAGCUCUGUCUUGUG